RNAcentral lists this long non-coding RNA (1243 nucleotides) under Homo sapiens (human). Its description in RNAcentral is "HSALNT0362803". The record is from RNAcentral. Lineage: Eukaryota; Metazoa; Chordata; Mammalia; Primates; Hominidae.
ACUCUGGCAAUGCUAGAGCACUAAGCAGAGAAGAGGCAGUGUUGGCUCUGGUUAGCCAGGGCAUACAGGCUCUCCUCGUCCUGUCCUCCGCAGUGGCCACAGGCACCCAGCUGUUCCACUCUCUCUGAAGGCCGCCAGGCAGUCUCUCCGCAAAACCUCCAUAGAGACUAUCUUCAGUUUCAGGUCCUCUCCUCCGGGCUGGGUCCCAGGAAGACACCUUGGGCUGAGUUCAGGGUGACAUUGGGCUCCGGCUGCAGGAAACGGGCCCUCCUUGCCAAGAGACCACCUUUCAGUCUCUGCUUCACAGGUUUGCCUUCAACUUUGCCAGCGAGUUCCCCUCUGACAUGCACCACCUUGAAACACCUUCUUCAAGGGGCAUGGAGAAUGGGGCAGCUUGGGUCCCCAAUCCUGAGCUCCUUCUCCAGCCUCCGGCCGUCACGCCUCCCUCCCUCUCCCCUAAUUCCCAGUCAAGCCAAGGAAAGGCUGCACAGAAGGCCAGAGAAUCACAAAGGGGAGUAGGGGUCAUUUUUUCACCCAUCUCGGAUCACAGGGAGAAGCAAGUUGGGCAAAUGACUGGAGAAAAAACAAAGGCAAGCCGAGUGCUGGGGAGAGAUGUUCCCCUGAAGUGAGACGGGGCUGGACCGUAGGAGAAAGGGGAGAGGGAGGGCUGGCGGGGGCAACUGACAGCUGACAGCAGAGGCGCCGAGGCGGAGGCUGGAGGAACCAGCUUGGACACCAGCCCUGAAGCAGGGAAAAGACAGAUGUACUAAUUGUCAUGGAUGGCAAACUGUGCCCCCAAACUUGUACCAAGCCUCAAAGCCUUGGUUUAAUACUCCUGAAGGAGUAAUAGACCCAAUGUGACAUUUUGCAUGCAGGAACCCCUUAACAGCUACCUCCAUAUUAUGCGUGCUUCAUGAAUGGAGACACCUACGUUAUAUGAAGUUCUCUAUUGGGCUGUAAACUUCCUGAGACAGGCCUUCUGGGAAAUUACUCUCUACAUCCCAGGACUGCAAUGUCCAGUGCAGACCCGUGCAUUUAGAUGUUUCCAAAAUAGCAGUUGUUUCCGCGGCAUUAUGUUCUGCUGGCCUAGAGGUCUUAGUUCCAGAGGGAGGAAUGCUGCCACCAAGAGACACAACAAUGAUUCCAUUAAACUGGAAGUUAAGAUUGCCACCUGGCCACUUUGGGCUCUUCUUACUUUUAAGCCAACUUGCUAAGAAGGGAGUUACAGUGUUUGACCCAGACU